GAUGACGAGCGGCGGACGGGUGAGUAAUACUUAGGAAUCUACCUAGUAGUGGGGGAUAGCUCGGGGAAACUCGAAUUAAUACCGCAUACGACCUACGGGAGAAAGGGGGCAACUUGUUGCUCUCGCUAUUAGAUGAGCCUAAGUCGGAUUAGCUAGAUGGUGGGGUAAAGGCCUACCAUGGCGACGAUCUGUAGCUGGUCUGAGAGGAUGAUCAGCCACACCGGGACUGAGACACGGCCCGGACUCCUACGGGAGGCAGCAGUGGGGAAUAUUGGACAAUGGGGGAAACCCUGAUCCAGCCAUGCCGCGUGUGUGAAGAAGGCCUUUUGGUUGUAAAGCACUUUAAGCAGUGAAGAAGACUCUUCGGUUAAUACCCGGAGACGAUGACAUUAGCUGCAGAAUAAGCACCGGCUAACUCUGUGCCAGCAGCCGCGGUAAUACAGAGGGUGCAAGCGUUAAUCGGAAUUACUGGGCGUAAAGCGAGCGUAGGUGGCUUGAUAAGUCAGAUGUGAAAUCCCCGGGCUUAACCUGGGAACUGCAUCUGAUACUGUCAGGCUAGAGUAGGUGAGAGGAAGGUAGAAUUCCAGGUGUAGCGGUGAAAUGCGUAGAGAUCUGGAGGAAUACCGAUGGCGAAGGCAGCCUUCUGGCAUCAUACUGACACUGAGGCUCGAAAGCGUGGGUAGCAAACAGGAUUAGAUACCCUGGUAGUCCACGCCGUAAACGAUGUCUACUAGUCGUUGGGUCCCUUGAGGACUUAGUGACGCAGCUAACGCAAUAAGUAGACCGCCUGGGGAGUACGGCCGCAAGGUUAAAACUCAA
Molecule: ribosomal RNA, 819 nt
Filed under: Psychrobacter alimentarius
Lineage: Bacteria; Pseudomonadati; Pseudomonadota; Gammaproteobacteria; Moraxellales; Moraxellaceae
Description: bacterial SSU rRNA
Rfam family: Bacterial small subunit ribosomal RNA
Source: RNAcentral